AGGAAUAUUGGUCAAUGGACGCGAGUCUGAACCAGCCAAGUAGCGUGAAGGAUGACUGCCCUAUGGGUUGUAAACUUCUUUUAUAUGGGAAUAAAGUGGUCCACGUGUGGACUUUUGUAUGUACCAUAUGAAUAAGGAUCGGCUAACUCCGUGCCAGCAGCCGCGGUAAUACGGAGGAUCCGAGCGUUAUCCGGAUUUAUUGGGUUUAAAGGGAGCGUAGGCGGAUUGUUAAGUCAGUUGUGAAAGUUUGCGGCUCAACCGUAAAAUUGCAGUUGAUACUGGCAGUCUUGAGUGCAGUAGAGGUGGGCGGAAUUCGUGGUGUAGCGGUGAAAUGCUUAGAUAUCACGAAGAACUCCGAUUGCGAAGGCAGCUCACUGGAGUGUAACUGACGCUGAUGCUCGAAAGUGUGGGUAUCAAACAGGAUUAGAUACCCUGGUAGUCCACACAGUAAACGAUGAAUACUCGCUGUUUGCGAUAUACAGUAAGCGGCCAAGCGAAAGCAUUAAGUAUUCCACCUGGGGAGUACGCCGGCAACGGUGAAACUCAAAGGAAUUGACGGGGGCCCGCACAAGCGGAGGAACAUGUGGUUUAAUUCGAUGAUACGCGAGGAACCUUACCCGGGCUUAAAUUGCAAAUGAAUUAUGGGGAAACCCAUACGCCGCAAGGCAUUUGUGAAGGUGCUGCAUGGUUGUCGUCAGCUCGUGCCGUGAGGUGUCGGCUUAAGUGCCAUAACGAGCGCAACCCUUAUCUUCAGUUACUAACAGGUCAUGCUGAGGACUCUGGAGAGACUGCCGUCGUAAGAUGUGAGGAAGGUGGGGAUGACGUCAAAUCAGCACGGCCCUUACGUCCGGGGCUACACACGUGUUACAAUGGGGGGUACAGAGGGCCGCUACCACGCGAGUGGAUGCCAAUCCCCAAAACCUCUCUCAGUUCGGACUGGAGUCUGCAACCCGACUCCACGAAGCUGGAUUCGCUAGUAAUCGCGCAUCAGCCACGGCGCGGUGAAUACGUUCCCG
RNAcentral lists this ribosomal RNA (1016 nucleotides) under uncultured bacterium. Its description in RNAcentral is "bacterial SSU rRNA". It matches the Rfam family "Bacterial small subunit ribosomal RNA", at positions 357 to 1376 of the family's 1533-position model. The record is from RNAcentral.